RNAcentral lists this ribosomal RNA (454 nucleotides) under uncultured bacterium. RNAcentral describes it as "bacterial SSU rRNA". It matches the Rfam family "Bacterial small subunit ribosomal RNA", at positions 68 to 518 of the family's 1533-position model. The record is from RNAcentral.
AGCGACAAGGAGCAAUCUGAGGUGGCGACCGGCGGCACGGGUGAGUAACACGUAUGCAACCUGCCUGUAAGCGGGGAAUAACCCGUUGAAAGACGGACUAAUACCGCAUAAUACUAAAUUACUGCAUGGUAAUUAUUUAAACAUUUAUGGCUUACAGAUGGGCAUGCGCAUGAUUAGCUAGUUGGAGAGGUAACGGCUCCCCAAGGCAACGAUCAUUAGGGGUUCUGAGAGGAAGGUCCCCCACACUGGUACUGAGACACGGACCAGACUCCUACGGGAGGCAGCAGUGAGGAAUAUUGGUCAAUGGACGAGAGUCUGAACCAGCCAAGUCGCGUGCAGGAAGAAUGUCCCUAUGGAUUGUAAACUGCUUUUGCAGGGGAAUAAAGUGCAUCACGUGUGAUGUUUUGUAUGUACUCUGCGAAUAAGGAUCGGCUAACUCCGUGCCAGCCGCCGC